GAGUGUGUAUGUGUGUGUAUAUAUAUGUAUAUGAAUGCGCUUAUAACCUAUAUUGGCACAAUAACCUGAAUCUCACUGCUUUUUCAUACUCAUGGUGAAUUCACCAGCACAGGUGAAGUUUUGCCUGCUGCAUUACACAGGACAUCAACCCAGAAAUCCCACCAGCCCCACGGGUGCACUUGUGGCUGAUUUUAGCUGCACCAGGGGCUUCCCAAACAAGCCUUGUCUCUCCCCUGCUGCCAAAGUAUCAGUCCUGCCUGCUAAGCCAGGUGUCUUCUGGGAGUCUGAUGGUGCCUUUGUGGAGAAAAUGUUCAUCUGGGAAUCUGGGUUCUCUUUAAUAUAUGAAACAUCCUGAUUUUAAACCAGAAUUGUAUUUAGAUAUUCCAAAGAAUUGUUUGAAUGUUCUUGAUAUCUGUGGUAAAAAUUGUCGGGAGGUAGUAAUCAGUUUCUUAAGUUUCCCUCUCUUUUAUUUAAAGAGUAAAAGUGAACUUGCACAGUAAACAACACCUGUUGGCCCGUUUGAGACUUGACUGGAGAAAGUGAUACCUUUUUGGUCUUGCAACUGCUUAGAUCUAGGGAAGUGUAGUGUUCCUUGGUUGCGGAAAAUUACAUGUUUAGUUGUAUAAAAUGAGGUUGUAUUCAGCUCUUCCUGUUCUGUUACAAAGCCUACAUUUUUCCUGGAAGUAGUGGAGAAUUUCGCAGGGGGGAAGAAAAAGGGUAUUUCAAGAAACAAAGUACACAAAAUGAGAAUAGAGAAGAAAGAAAUUACACAUUAAAGGGCAGUAGUUGCAUCUGAAGAGAGAUGAGUAAUAAUAUUUGAAAGAAAAAUGCUCUAAUGUUGGCUUAACUAGACUACUAGCCUACAGUAUAAUUGGAUAGCAAUCUGCUUUUAACAAAUAAAGGUAAUUUUUGUUUCAUCAAGCAAAACUUACUUUGUUAGUAGCUAAAAUGUACCAAGCUUUUUAGAAACAGCAAAUAUCAAUUUGGAGACUUAAAGUUGCAUGAAUAGCAUGAAUAUCAUAUUAAUUAUUUCUUUUCCAUGUGUUCUUGUUUACAGACCAGUCUUUCCAUAUGGGGAUGGGGAAGUCUUGGCCUUGUGCUUUUUCUAGUAACUUUUGGACCCUUCGCUAUAUUUUACUUUGCAUUUUAUAUCCUCUGCUUUGUGGGUGGGGGUUUUGUGGUUACUCUUUUAUUUGGAAAAAGCAACUCAGAAAAAUACCUUGAGCAGUGUGAACAUUCGUUUCUUCCUUGUACAUCGGUUGGGAUCCCUAAGUGCAUAGAAGAAAUGAAACGUGAAGCCAGACCAAUUAAGAUUGACAGAAGACUGACAGGUGCGAAUAUAAUUGAUGAGCCUUUGCAGCAGGUAAUCCAGUUUUCUCUGAGAGACUAUGUGCAGUAUUGGUAUUACACACUAAGUGAUGAUGAAUCGUUCCUUCUGGAAAUCAGGCAGGCUCUUCAGUAUGCACUUGUUCAGUUUUCUGCCAGGUCAAAGGAAACAGACUGGCAGCCUUAUUUCACUACACGACUUGUUGAUGACUUUGGCACUCAUCUUCGAGUUUUCAGAAAAGCUCAGCAAAGAAUAGCAGAGAAAGGCGAUCAGAUGAAAGAUCAAGCUGAGGAACUUGUAGAUACAUUCUUUGAGGUUGAAGUUGAAAUGGAAAAAGAAGUCUGUCGUGAUCUAGUCUGCACUUCUCCCAAAGAUGAAGAAGGAUUCCUAAGGGAUCUGUGUGAGGUUUUACUGUAUAUAUUGCUACCUCCUGGAGACUUCCAGAACAAGAUCAUGCGAUACUUUGUCAGGGAAAUCCUCUCCCGAGGAAUUCUUCUUCCAUUAAUAAACCAGCUCAGUGAUCCUGAUUAUAUUAAUCAGUAUGUCAUAUGGAUGAUUCGUGAUUCCAACUGUAACUAUGAGGCCUUUAUGAAUAUUAUUAAAUUAAGUGAUAAUAUAGGAGAGUUGGAAGCAGUGAAAGAUAAAGCAAGUGAAGAACUUCAGUAUCUUCGAUCUCUAGAUACAGCCGGAGAUGAUAUCAACACUAUAAAAAAUCAAAUAAACAGUUUAUUAUAUGUUAUUAAAGUAUGUGAUUCAAGAAUUCAGAGGUUGCAGUCAGGAAAAGAAAUAGAUACUGUGAAACUGGCAGCAAACUUUGGAAAACUUUGCACAGUCCCUCUGGACCAUAUUCUGGUAGACAAUGUUGCACUACAAUUUUUUAUGGAUUACAUGCAGCAGACUGGUGGCCAAGCACAUCUGUUUUUCUGGAUGACAGUGGAAGGAUACAGGGUUACGGCACAGCAACAGCUGGAGGUACUUCAAAGCCGGCAAAAAGAUGGAAAACAUCAGACUAAUCAAACCAAGGGUCUAUUAAGAGCAGCUGCAUUUGGAGUUUAUGAGCAAUAUUUAUCAGAAAAGGCAUCUCCGAGAGUUAAUAUUGAUGACAACUUAGUAGCAAAACUGGCAGAAACACUGAACCAUGAAGAUCCAACACCCGAAAUCUUUGAUGAUAUUCAGAGAAAGGUGUAUGAAUUGAUGCUGCGAGAUGAAAGAUUCUACCCUUCGUUCAAACAGAAUGUGUUGUAUGUGCGUAUGUUAGCUGAGCUGGAUAUGCUGAAGGAUCCUAGUUUCAGGGGGUCGGACGACGGUGAAGGAGAAUCAUUUAACGGGUCUCCUACUGGCAGCAUAAAUCUGUCCUUAGAUGACCUUUCAAAUGUCCCUUCUGAUGAGACGGUUCAACUUCAUGCAUACAUCUCAGAUACUGCACUCAACAUUCUUCUUCUAGAGGGUAGAUGGCAAAGAAAAGAUGCUCCAUGCCCACUGUGCACCUUGCCAUCUAUGCUGACUCUGACCCAUAUGCUGUGGCAGGAGUGUGUAAUGACCAUGGCAAGACAUAUGCACUGUAUGCUAUCACAGUCCAUCGGAGAAAUCCAAACAGCGAAGAGACAUGGAAGACAUAUCGACGCUACAGUGACUUCCAUGACUUUCACAUGAGGAUCACUGAGCAGUUUGAAAACCUCGCAAAUAUACUGAAACUUCCUGGCAAAAAGACAUUUAACAAUAUGGACAGAGAAUUCUUGGAAAAGAGGAAAAAAGAUUUAAAUGCAUAUUUGCAGCUCUUGUUAAAUCCGGAAAUGAUGAAAGCUUCUCCAGCUUUAGCCCACUAUGUGUAUGACUUCCUGGAGAAUAAAGCCUACAGCAAAGGGAAGGGGGAUUUUGCACGGAAGAUGGACACAUUUGUAAACCCACUGCGUAAUUCUAUGAGAAAUGUAUCAAACGCAGUCAAGUCUCUCCCUGACAGCCUGGCAGAGGGAAUGACUAAAAUGUCAGACAACAUGGGUAAAAUGUCAGAGAGAUUGGGACAAGACAUAAAGCAAUCAUUUUUCAAGGUGCCUCCUUUGAUCCAGAAAACCUAUUCAGAUCCUGACCAUUGCCGUGUUGCAGCACCAAUUGAUGACAAUGUGGAUGACAAUAUUCCACUGAGAGUAAUGCUCCUCCUUAUGGAUGAAGUCUUUGAUUUAAAGGAAAGAAAUCAGUGGUUAAGAAGAAAUAUAAAAAAUCUGCUUCAGCAACUUAUUAGAGCAACAUAUGGUGACACAAUUAAUAGAAAAAUAGUUGAUCAUGUUGAUUGGAUGACAUCUCCUGAGCAAGUAGCAGAUGCGGUGAAACGCUUCAGAGAUGCUUUCUGGCCCAAUGGCAUUUUAGCAGAGACAGUUCCACGGAGGGACAAAGCUAUUAGAAUGAGAACAAGAGUGGCAGGGAAGACCAAAUUACUGGAGGUAAUGCCAGACGAACUGAAGCACAUCAUCGGCGCUGAGACUACACGGAAAGGCAUUCUUCGGGUCUUUGAAAUGUUCCAGCACACUCAGCUGAACAAGAGAAUGGUGUAUGUGUUUCUGGAGAGAUUCCUAGAAACCUUAUUUCCACAAAAUAAGUUCCCUGAGCUCUUCAGCAAACUGCAUUCACGGUCAAAGCAGAUGCAGAGGUAUAAGCAGAGACUACAUUCUACUCAAGCGCCUUCCUUACAGAAAAGGUGACACUUCAAACCUACAAAGCUGGUGUAUGUUUGUCCAGGACUAAUUACUUGGGCAGAUUCUCUGGGGCUUCAAACUCACAUGCUGUUAUUUCUGCACCAGUCUUUUAGUGUCACAUAUUAGAUUAUUAAUGCAUCUGUAAGACCUGUGGAUCUUCUCAUCUUCACUUGUAAUUCAACCACUACCAGAAGGGUUUGUGUGUCUUAAAUGAUUUGGUGCGUCUUCAUGCAACAUUGAGAGGAAUACUGGCCCAAUAUAUAAGAAUGCUGAUUCCUUCCGUUCCUGAGUCCAUGUUUUGCCAGCAAUGAAAAGUGCCAGACUGCUCAAGUAAAGCACAACUAUGGUGACACAAUGGAAGAAAAGGAUGUUUUGGCACUGGGAGAUAGUGCAAUGUGUGAGAAUCAGGUGGAAUUGUUCUACAUUAUGACUGUUGAGGCUCUGUAGGGCUCUCUUAACAUUCCUGUAAAGACUGAGCUAACAGGAAAAGCAGUCUCUGGAAUAGCAGAUUCAUAGGAGAGGGGAGAAAUAGUUAUAGCCCCAUUGUAAAAGUACAUUUGUUAAAGAAAAAUAGAAGUAAUGUGGCUUUUAUGCCCCGUUUCCAACACUUUUCAUGUUUUGAAAAAUAAACUAACAUUAGAUCUAAUGGGAGGUUUAGUAAAGGCAGAGGUGCAGUAGAAACAAACCCUUUAUUUUGAUUAUUCUGUAGCUUUAAGGGCCAUAUUCUGCUCUUGCAGCACCUGGCAUAGAUUUUGCAUGUAACUUCAGUGGAGAAGUGGCAUCAUAUUUGUAUUCAAUUGACAUAUUUGAACAUAUGUCAAGUUGAUAGUUGUAGAAGGAAUGGGGUACAUGUUAAAAAGAGGAUAGACGUGUUAGAAGAUGAGGAAAUUGCACUAAGACACAGUUUACACACAACUCCCCACUAAAUUCUGAAACUUCUUUUGAAUGUGAAAAACUAUGCCCUACUUAAUUGAAAGAUUCCUUACCUUUUAGUGUGUAAGCGUCGAAUGGAAAAAUGUUAAAUUAGUUGGUUCCUCACAGGUAAAAGAUUUCAUUAGUCAUAUGCAAACACUUGGAAAUUCCUGAACGCAUCUCAGUGUAUAUAUGAAAAUAAAAAUGAGAAAAAACUACAAUAUUUUUUUAAAUAUUUUUUUUAUUUUUUUGCAUAGUGUAAAAUUUUAAUAUAAAUUUGACAUCAAGGCCCCACAUCCAUCUGUUUAGUUUCAGUGAAGAAUUUCUGUCCAAUUAAAAAUAAAGUAACAACCAAAUAAUCCUGUUUGGCCACAGCAUAUCUCAGUUUGUGUUUUCCAUAGUCCCCUACUGUUUGAGCACCACUAUCUGGAUAUAAAUAGGAACUAAUCCUACAGAGUCCGUUCUUUUUCUGAACACGAAGCGCAGGGUAAGAUACAGCAAUUGAUCAAGGAUCCCUAUAGCAAUUUGUGUCAUAAUGGGAACAAAUGAUCCUUUCACAUGAUGGAGGAACAUAGAACUUCUAUGAAAGCGUUCUAAGAGAAGACAAGAAAGCUCUCAAAGGACCUAGUUAAAUUGACUGAAACCUCUAUAUAGAUCAUUUUUUCUCAUGGACUCUAAUGCAAUGUAGCCUUUUAUCAUACUACUUAAUGAUGAUCAUCUUGUACUGUUAACAUUCUCAUACAGUAUGCAUGGGCUCAAGUGCACUUGGGUUUUGUUUUUUUUUUUCUUUAUUGCAGAACUAAAUACUAUAAAUGAAAUCCCUUUCUUUUAUAGUCCCUAGGAAGACAAGUUGGUUAAAUAUGUAAGAACCCUUCCCCCUUCCUCUCUGCAGGUUCUGUAGAAGUGUGUUGAAUUUAACAAGAUUAUUGAGUUCUAUGUUAAGUAAUCAGCGUAGCCAGCUCCUGUUGUUUACAAGCCUGUAUUUUCCUCUGAUGUCAGGGUGCUCAAGCAUUCCUGGUAUCUGACUGAUGGCGAUAUAGCAAAUAUAUCCUUGAGCCUAUCAAAUCUAAUUUAUGGCUUUUAAAUCACUGAAUUUGUUAGCAGUAUGAAAGCGGGAAGUUCAAAUACUGUUUUGUCAAAUCUGUGGAACCUUUUAUCUAUCUGUAGGUACCAUGAAAAAUUUCAAGAGAAUCGUGAUAAUGUGCAAAUUUGGGAUUUCUUUUUUUUUUCCUUUUUUUUUUAAAGUAUCUGGUACAUUUCUGUACAAAAAUAAAAUAAUAUCUCUAGGAAUGUGAACUGAACAUAAUACGCCAUGUUUAUUAGUUUUACUUAAUGAAUUUAUUACAUAUAUAUACUUAUACACACACUUGUAUACCUAUGUGUGCAUAUGUAUAUAUGUAUUGAAGUUUUGUCUUCUGUAUUUAAUUACAGAGUGUGGCUUCCUAAUUCAAUGGUGCCUGUUGGCUGACAAGAAUAAUCAGAAAUGAAUCCUUUUUAUUAAAAAGAAUUUGUGUGUAUCUCUAUUUAAAUGGUUUUCCUGUUGACAGCUUAAAAUACCUACUCUGUCAACCCAAGCAGCCUGUUAUCCUAGAAAGUUUCCAAAACUGAAUGUUGAUAUACAGCACUUAAGUGCGUGCGUGUAUCUUCUGGCCUUUGAGUGCUGUGACUGGCUGCACAGAAUUGUGCCAUUGUCAACAAAUGCACUUGUUUUAGCCUUAAUUAUUUUUAAGAGGAAACGAGUAAUUGAAUUUUUCAUUUGGUUCAUCCUCAAGCUUGUGCUGCUGGUGUUUGCUAGAACUAAACAGUAAAUUUUAAGUGCUACCAGAAUGUGUACCAAAAUAAAAAUAUAUGAAUUCCACAAUCUAAAUUUUAAUUUUGUGCAAUAUUUUCAUUUAAUGCAUGUGUAUUUGAAUAACUGUAAAAUAAAUGAAUUUUUAAUGUUUUGAAGUCUAGGUUAAAAAUAUCUUCUCAGCUGAACAAUUUUGCAUUCUGUUGUUGCGUUAGUUUAUUUAAGGACUUGUUUUAAAAGUCUUAUUUGUUACUCCUUUGUUAAUUUUGCCCUUGUUCUCAAUGAUCCUUGCUCGUCUGAGCAAAGUUCAUAUAUUACAAGGGAGAAAUCUGAAGAGCACAUCUCAUGAAUAUAGCUGUUAUGAAUUACUUGUGCAUAUCAUUGUACAGUAAGUGUCAGCUGUGUGCCUAAUUGUUCUAUUGAUGCUUUUUCCCUCCCUUCCCCUUCCUCUCGUUUCUGUAACAAAGAAUGAACACGAACCAGGCUGCCAUGGUCACUUCUACUGAAUGGCAGAGGACUCUGAAUUUUUUUUGGAGUUUGCAUUUAUGUUCUGUCCAAUAGAAAGCUAAAAAAUUACACUAAUAAAGUAUUAACAGGAUUA
This is an RNA transcript of Strigops habroptila (Kakapo), 7319 nucleotides long. It is a transcript of the gene named sorting nexin 13, with no coding region annotated. The record is from RefSeq and is a predicted model, not a curated record. NCBI's taxonomy places the organism in Eukaryota, Metazoa, Chordata, Aves, Psittaciformes, Psittacidae. The transcript is spliced from 26 exons.